CCAAGGAGUCUAACAUGUAUGCGAGUCAAUGGGACUCGAAUAAGCCCAAAGGCGCAGUGAAAGUGAUUUCAUAAUCGAGAUCCAUGUGUUUUCAUACACGUGGCGCAUCGAUGACCCGUUCAAAUUUUCCUUYGAUAGAAGAACGGAGUUUGAGCAUACACGUUGGGACCCGAAAGAUGGUGAGCUAUGCUUGGACAGGACGAAGCCAGAGGAAACUCUGGUGGAGGUCCGUAGCGGUUCUGACGUGCAAAUCGAUCGUCAGAUCCGAGUAUAGGGGCGAAAGACUAAUCGAACCAUCUA
RNAcentral lists this ribosomal RNA (300 nucleotides) under Mysmena sp. MYSM-013-THAI. Its description in RNAcentral is "eukaryotic LSU rRNA". It matches the Rfam family "Eukaryotic large subunit ribosomal RNA", at positions 666 to 946 of the family's 3401-position model. The record is from RNAcentral. Lineage: Eukaryota; Metazoa; Arthropoda; Arachnida; Araneae; Mysmenidae.